Molecule: ribosomal RNA, 196 nt
Filed under: Bacillus sp. MQ-2011-MP5
Lineage: Bacteria; Bacillati; Bacillota; Bacilli; Caryophanales; Bacillaceae
Description: partial 16S ribosomal RNA
Rfam family: Bacterial small subunit ribosomal RNA
Source: RNAcentral
UAUGCAAGACCGGGGGGUCAAGCCAAUCCCAUAAAACCUUUCUUAGUUAGGAUUGUAGGCUGCAACUAGCCUACAAGAAGCUGGAAUCGAUAGUAAUCGCGGAUCAGCAGCCGCAGUGAAUACGUUCCCGGGCUUUGUACACACCGCCCUGUCACACCAGGAGAUUUUGUAACCCCGGAAAGUUCGGGGUGGGGGG